This 1956-nucleotide ribosomal RNA is filed under the name human gut metagenome. RNAcentral describes it as "bacterial LSU rRNA". The stretch from base 665 to 1956 matches the Rfam family "Bacterial large subunit ribosomal RNA", at positions 1 to 1985 of the family's 2925-position model. The record is from RNAcentral.
GGCUUCUUAAACCUUUACCAAGGUCUUCGAGGCCAGCACCGAUAGGAAGACCACCUUCGGAGAAUGCAGUCUGAGUUCUACCGUAUACAAUCUGGAGGAAUAAUUCUCUCAUAGCAGUGUUAAUAGCAUCACAAACGAGGUCUGUGUUUAAUGCUUCAAGAAUAGUUUUACCAGGAAGAAUUUCAGAAGCCAUAGCUGCGGAAUGAGUCAUACCAGAGCAACCAAUAGUUUCUACUAAAGCUUCUUGGAUAACGCCUUCUUUAACAUUAAGAGUUAGUUUACAUGCACCCUGUUGAGGAGCACACCAGCCAACACCAUGAGUUAAACCGCUGAUAUCUUUAAUUUCUUUAGCCUGUACCCAUUUGCCUUCUUCAGGAAUUGGAGCUGGGCCAUGUUUUUCAAUGCCUUUUGCCACACAUGUCAUAUUAGACACUUCUUGUGAAUAGAUCAUCUUUGUUUCCUCUCCUUAAUAUAUACAUUUUAUACACGAUAUACAUUAUAUCAUUAUAUGAUAUCAUUAUUCAAGUUUAUGAAACUAAAACUUAAAAUAACAAUAGUUUUUCUUAUUUCAAUAAUAUAAUCUUAUGUUAAAACUUAAUCUGCCAAUAAGAUAAUAUUAAUCGAUUAAAGCUUUUCCAGUCAUUUCUGCUGGAACUUCAAGACCUGCUAAUUUCAAUAAAGUUGGAGCAAUAUCACAUAAAGCACCAUCUUUAACUUCUUUUACUUUAUCAGAAACUACGAUAAAUGGUACAGGAUUUGUAGUAUGUGCUGUAAAUGCUUCUUUAGUUUCUUCGUCUAACAUUUUUUCAGCAUUACCAUGGUCAGCUGUAAUACAUACAGUACCACCGACUUGCUGUUGUUUUGUUCUAGAGGUAGAGCUACUGAUUGGAUGCGAGGGCUUCACCGCCUAUCAAAUCCGGCCAAACUCCGAAUGCUAGAACAUGAAGACAGGGAGUGAGCCAGCGGGUGCUAAGGUCCGUUGACGAAAGAGGGAGAACUCAGACCAUCAGCUAAGGUCCCCAAUUGUAUGCUAAGUUGGAAUUAAAACGGGGUGGGACUGCUUAGACAGCUAGGAUGUUGGCUUGGAAGCAGCCAUUCAUUUAAAGAGUGCGUAACAGCUCACUAGUCGAGCGGUCCUGCAUGGAUAAUACGCGGGCAUAAGCAUAUAACCGAAGCUAUGGGAUUGUAGAUGAUACAAUCGGUAGGAGAGCAUUCCAUUCAGCGUAGAAGCAGUAUCGUGAGGUAUUGUGGAGCGGAUGGAAAAGCAAAUGUAGGCAUAAGUAACGAUAAUGCGGGUGAGAACCCCGCACGCCGAAAGAUCAAGGAUUCCCCGGCAAUGUCAAUCAUCCGGGGGUAAGUCGGAUCCUAAGGGUAAGCCGAGUGGCGAUCCCGAUGGCAAACAGGUUAAUAUUCCUGUACUGAUCAUAACUGCGAUGCAGCGACGCAGAGGUGACACUGCUGCGUACUGACGGAAUAGUACGUUGAAACCCGUAUUCUUUGAUACCGGUAGUGAAGCACGCCGGUAGAGAUGAAAGGUGAUAGUACCGCAAUGCUUCGGUUGCGCGGAUAAUGCAGGUAAGCUGACUGCCAAGAAAACCUGCUAAGCUUCAGGUAAUGAUCAUCCGUACUGUAAACGGACACACGUGAUCAGGUAGAAAAUACUAAGGCGCUCGAGAGAUUCAUGGUUAAGGAACUAGGCAAAAUGGUCCUGUAACUUCGGGAUAAAGGACGCUCUUGUGAAAGAGCCGCAGAUAAUAGGCCCAGGCGACUGUUUACCAAAAACACAUGGCUAUGCUAAUUCGCAAGAAGAUGUAUAUGGCCUGACACCUGCCCGGUGCCGGAAGGUUAAGAGGAGAGCUCAGAGGUAACUCGAAGGUUUGAAUUGAAGCCCCGGUAAACGGCGGCCGUAACUAUAACGGUCCUAAGGUAGCGAAAUUCCUUGUCGGGUAAGUUCCG